GACGAACGCUGGCGGCGUGCUUAACACAUGCCAGUCGAACGGAAAGGCCCUGCUUUUGUGGGGUGCUCGAGUGGCGAACGGGUGAGUAACACGUGAGUAACCUGCCCUUGACUUUGGGAUAACUUCAGGAAACUGGGGCUAAUACCGGAUAGGAGCUCCUGCUGCAUGGUGGGGGUUGGAAAGUUUCGGCGGUUGGGGAUGGACUCGCGGCUUAUCAGCUUGUUGGUGGGGUAGUGGCUUACCAAGGCUUUGACGGGUAGCCGGCCUGAGAGGGUGACCGGCCACAUUGGGACUGAGAUACGGCCCAGACUCCUACGGGAGGCAGCAGGGGGGAAUAUUGCACAAUGGGCGGAAGCCUGAUGCAGCAACGCCGCGUGCGGGAUGACGGCCUUCGGGUUGUAAACCGCUUUCGCCUGUGACGAAGCGAGAGUGACGGUAAUGGGUAAAGAAGCACCGGCUAACUACGUG
Molecule: ribosomal RNA, 468 nt
Filed under: uncultured bacterium
Lineage: Bacteria
Description: partial 16S ribosomal RNA
Rfam family: Bacterial small subunit ribosomal RNA
Source: RNAcentral